UCAUCUGCUAACAACCAAAAAAAGAAACAACAAACUGGGCUUCCUCAAGAAAUAGUUGAUUCCAGACCUGGGGCAGGUAAUGCAUAAGAUGAACUGAAAC
Molecule: long non-coding RNA, 100 nt
Organism: Sapajus apella (tufted capuchin)
Lineage: Eukaryota; Metazoa; Chordata; Mammalia; Primates; Cebidae
Exons: 4
Source: RefSeq, a predicted model, not a curated record